GGGCGCAUAACUCAGUCCGGUUAGAGUGCCAUCUUCACACGGUGGAAGUCGCUGGUUCGAAUCCAGCUGUGCCCA
This 75-nucleotide transfer RNA is filed under the name Myxococcales bacterium. RNAcentral's name for it is "tRNA-Val". It matches the Rfam family "tRNA". Rfam says of the family: Transfer RNA (tRNA) molecules are approximately 80 nucleotides in length. Lineage: Bacteria; Pseudomonadati; Myxococcota; Myxococcia; Myxococcales. The record is from RNAcentral. RNAcentral also lists the same sequence under 2 other names.